AGCAUCCGUAGCCGGUUGCAUAAGUUUUCGGUUAAAUCUAUGCGCUCAACGUAUAGGCCGCCGAAAAUACUGUGCAGCUAGGGAGUGGGAGAGGUACACGGUACUCAGUAGGAAGGGGUAAAAUCCUUUGAUCUAUUGAUGACCACCUGUGGCGAAGGCGGUGUACCAGAACACGUUCGACGGUGAGGGAUGAAAGCUGGGGGAGCAAACCGGAUUAGAUACCCGGGUAGUCCCAGCUGUAAACGAUGCAGACUCGGUGAUGCAUUGGCUUGUGGCCAAUGCAGUGCCGCAGGGAAGCCGUUAAGUCUGCCGCCUGGGAAGUACGUACGCAAGUAUGAAACUUAAAGGAAUUGGGGGGGGAGAACAAACCUA
Molecule: ribosomal RNA, 372 nt
Filed under: uncultured Nitrososphaerota archaeon
Lineage: Archaea; Thermoproteati; Nitrososphaerota
Description: bacterial SSU rRNA
Rfam family: Archaeal small subunit ribosomal RNA
Source: RNAcentral